GAGGAAUAUUGGGCAAUGCCCGCAAGGGUGACCCAGCAACGCCGCGUGGAGGAUGAAUGUCGUAAGAUUGUAAACUCCUGUUAGAGGGGAAGAAUAGUACCGGUUGGACCGGUAUAUGACUGUACCCUCAGAGAAAGCCCCGGCUAACUACGUGCCAGCAGCCGCGGUAAUACGUAGGGGGCAAGCGUUGUCCGGAUUUACUGGGUGUAAAGGGCGCGCAGGCGGGAUAAAAGGUCAGUGGUGAAAUCCUACAGCUUAACUGUAGAACUGCCUUUGAUACUUUUAUUCUUGAGUUCGGGAGAGAGAGACGGAAUUCCAGGUGUAGUGGUGAAAUACGUAGAUAUCUGGAAGAACACCAGUUGCGAAGGCGGUCUCUUGGUCCGACACUGACGCUGAGGCGCGAAAGCGUGGGGAGCAAACA
Molecule: ribosomal RNA, 421 nt
Filed under: uncultured bacterium
Lineage: Bacteria
Description: bacterial SSU rRNA
Rfam family: Bacterial small subunit ribosomal RNA
Source: RNAcentral